UCAAGCUCGGGUUUAUCGGUGU
This 22-nucleotide microRNA is filed under the name Oikopleura dioica. RNAcentral's name for it is "odi-miR-1473". The record is from miRBase by way of RNAcentral. Lineage: Eukaryota; Metazoa; Chordata; Appendicularia; Copelata; Oikopleuridae.